AACGAACGCUGGCGGCAUGCCUAACACAUGCAAGUCGAACGAGACCUUCGGGUCUAGUGGCGCACGGGUGCGCAACGCGUGGGAACCUGCCCUUAGGUUCGGAAUAACUCCCCGAAAGGGGUGCUAAUACCGGAUAAUGUCUUCGGACCAAAGAUUUAUCGCCUUUGGAUGGGCCCGCGUUGGAUUAGCUAGUUGGUAGGGUAAAAGCCUACCAAGGCGACGAUCCAUAGCUGGUCUGAGAGGAUGAUCAGCCACACUGGGACUGAGACACGGCCCAGACUCCUCCGGGAGGCAGCAGUGCGGAAUGUGGGACGAUGGGCGAAAGCCUGAUCCAGCAAUGCCGCGUGAGUGAUGAAGGCCUUAGGGUUGUAAUGCUCUUUUGCCCGGGAUGAUAAUGAGAGUGCCGGGAGAAUGAGCUCCGGCUGACUCCGUG
This 433-nucleotide ribosomal RNA is filed under the name uncultured bacterium. RNAcentral describes it as "partial 16S ribosomal RNA". It matches the Rfam family "Bacterial small subunit ribosomal RNA", at positions 29 to 507 of the family's 1533-position model. The record is from RNAcentral.